Anser brachyrhynchus (Pink-footed goose) is the source of this 1115-nucleotide long non-coding RNA. The record is from Ensembl. NCBI's taxonomy places the organism in Eukaryota, Metazoa, Chordata, Aves, Anseriformes, Anatidae.
AUAUAUUAAAAAAUAAAAGAACAACAAGAAGAAGAAGAAACCUUGACUGGGUUAAUAUAAUCAGGUAGGUAAUUGGCAAAAUAAGUAUGUCCCCAUUAUGCUAGGUAAGAUGCUGUGCUAAGCAUCUUCUGUUUCUCCUGGCUUAAUUAUACAUUUCUGUCAAAGUGUGGUCGUACUUGCUUCAAAUAUUGUGUAUCUGGAUGUGCCUUGGGUCAACAGUAAAAAUAGAGUUCCUAAUCAGGUAUGACAAAGAAUAGAGUAAAAAUUACUUUCAGGAGUAAUAAAAAAAAAGAUCUGUUCUACUUUUAAAGUAUUUGCAUCUGAAGAGGAAAUUCAAAUUUUGGCCACUCAGCAGUGGUAAUUCGUAACGGAGGCAUGGCCUGGCCUGGGGAGCAAGAAGGGCUGGCGGCACGAGGGGUCAGACCGGUGAGGUUGAUGUGAAUAAACUGGCCCUCUGCGAGGGCUGCUGUCUGGUAAAGUAAGAAACACCACAGCUUUGGCUUGUAAAUAUCAUGCUCAGGAUGCUUUUGGUGAACUGAGCUGGUGCUAGGGGGUGAACCAAACACCAGGGUAAGGCACCUAAUGCCAAUCGUCCCAGGAUCAGUGCUGGCGCGGGGACAGAUAAGGAAUGGCUUGUGGUGCAGCUUCGCAGGCCCCUUGUAGAUCCGCUUGUGGAAGCAGGCCUCUGCCCCAUGUUCAUUGAUUGUUCAUUAAUUCUUUUCAUAUUUAAGCACAAACGUGUGUUUAGUUUACCUCAGGGAGUACAACAGAAACUCCCAGUCGAUUUGGUGUCAGGAGUGCGGGUGCUGCUUGCUGGCAGGAGCCGCCAGACUGGGGCCAGAGGGGAGGCCCAGGCGGCACCACCAUCAGAGGUGAGUGAUCCUUAUCGCCUUGUCUCACCAGCAAGUGAUCUUCGCCCCAACCACAUCUCCGGGCUGGCCGUUAUAUCAGUGGACAAACAUGGUACAGAAGAAUCCUUCAAAGCAUCCCCUGUUUGGAUGAAAGCCCAGGAGCAUGAGAACCGAUCCUCAAGAGCCCUGAUCUCAGCCUCUCUGGUACUUAACAGCCAACUUACCAUUCCCGCCAACAGAUAUUAUUCAAAGACCACGUUCUGA